Lactuca sativa (garden lettuce) is the source of this 830-nucleotide long non-coding RNA. RefSeq lists it as uncharacterized. The record is from RefSeq and is a predicted model, not a curated record. NCBI's taxonomy places the organism in Eukaryota, Viridiplantae, Streptophyta, Magnoliopsida, Asterales, Asteraceae.
UUAAUCUCUCUCUUUUUGUGCCAGAGUUUUUAAACAUUUUCGUUUUCCCUAGUUUAUGAAACUUUAUGAAGCUUUACCCUUGUCCUUGGUUUGAGAGCUGUACACGUGGGGACGUCGAGACAUCCACCGUAUACGUGUUUCGAUUUCAAUACUCCACUGUUUAUAUUAUCCCACCGCUAUUCCCUAAUUCUUCCUAUUCAGAUGAACCGACAAAACCCUCACCCAUUUACUAUCGGCGUCAUCAUAUUCUCUAACAUAUACCAUCUUCACCUAUUGCAAUCACAUAUCAUGCACCAUCAGCUUCUCGAUUUUCUCAUCGACGUUGAAAACACUCAAAUUGAUGGUUUACUGGGUGUAUGCAUCUUCACUUUUUUGAUUAGGGAUUUCGGCCUGAAAUUUAUGUCGUGUGCUCUCCACCUUCUCCACCAUCAUAUAUGCAACCGGAAAGAGAAGCAGUAUCUUCAUGCGCACAUCGGACCCGAUGAACCUCUUCCACCUGCAUCGUUGCCCCAUGUUCUACGUUCAAGUCGGCCCAAGCAAUUCGUCGAACAGAUUGUGAGCAAAGACUUACAAACUAAAGUUUGGACAGAAUAAUUCAGCUAGAGGACACUAGCACUACCAUUAUUUGAGCUUUCACUUCUUUUGCAAUCAAUGGAGAGUGCACUGGACGAAACCUGUUGCAAAUUCCUGAAAUAUAUAGGUUAGAAUUUUAAAAUAUUUAUCAUAUUUUUCCAUUCUCUUCCAUAAAUAGUUUCUCCAAACCAAGAAAAUACUCCAAGAAGAACCUUUUGAAGGUAUAUAGACGUUUAUACUUUUCUAUUUUGCAAAGA